RNAcentral lists this unclassified non-coding RNA (556 nucleotides) under Hevea brasiliensis (rubber tree). Lineage: Eukaryota; Viridiplantae; Streptophyta; Magnoliopsida; Malpighiales; Euphorbiaceae. The record is from RNAcentral.
UCUGUCUCUUAGGCAUGGACACCAUACAUCAAGUUGUUCUACUAAGGUAAAUUUCGCUUCCAUUCCAUGAAAAAUGCUCCUACUAAUCACCACUAAUAGUCACCUUCUUUAUGUUGAUUCCCUGUGUCAUAAAAGAAAAACCUCUGCAGGUAGCUAUAUCACCUAUUUCUUCUUUACAUUUGAUAUCCCUACAACCAUUCGAUUGUUACUUAAAUACACACAGGGAUCAAGAAAUCCAAUUUGUUAUGCCAUAGCCAAGGGAAGAAAACCCCAUCUCCAGUACUGCUUCAUAUCCUUUUAUUGCUUCCCUAUUGCUCUCAAAAAGGGUUCAGAUGCUUGCAAAAUGUCAAGCAGUAUUUUGAAAAUUCAUUCUCUCUUCUUUGAGAACAUGUUGAGUCAUUAAUUUAAGGCACAAUCUAACCUUUGCCAAAACCAGGUAUAAUACAUGCAAACAGAUAUUGCAAUUAAUAAGAAUUGGUUUGAGUAAAGAUCCAAGGAAUGCAAUAACUUCUUUACAGCUUUACAAAACAAGCAGAGAAAGCACUAACAUUAUUAG